UUUGAGGAGAUUCAUUUCCUUUUCUUCUCCCCAAAACAGUCGACCAUCUCCCCUCCCCAAAAGAAAUCAAAAAUCACCAUUUUCUUCCUUCAAGUUCAAUUUCGUAGAGAAAUUUCAUGUAGUAGCUGCAAUACCUUGAAAGAAAAGGUUCGAGUGGCAGUGUAGAAUGAACAAGCAAAGACUUCUAUUUCAUUAAGCGUAUCAGGUUAAGUUGUGGUGCAGAUGGAAGUGAGCAGAGCAAAUUCUUUGAUGUAUAUGUAUUAAACCAGGCUCAGGAUUCCAUGUCUUCAUAUAUGUAAUCCACAUGAAUUAUUCCGCUGCAACACUUAAUGUACUUUACUUUAUUGAUGUGUUGUACAUAUUUUAAAUCAAUAGCUUAGAGAAUUAUGUCACUUGAAAGUUAGACAACUUGUCGUUGUGUAUUGUAAGUUGUCUACUCAUGAGUUUUAAAAGUGAUUGCUUAUAAUUAUCCAAUAUUAAAGUAAUUCAUCGUUAAAGAGGGUUCAUUAUUAUUA
Long non-coding RNA from Salvia miltiorrhiza (redroot sage), 515 nucleotides. RefSeq lists it as uncharacterized. Lineage: Eukaryota; Viridiplantae; Streptophyta; Magnoliopsida; Lamiales; Lamiaceae. The transcript is spliced from 3 exons. The record is from RefSeq and is a predicted model, not a curated record.